Molecule: non-coding RNA, 557 nt
Organism: Rattus norvegicus (Norway rat)
Lineage: Eukaryota; Metazoa; Chordata; Mammalia; Rodentia; Muridae
Source: RefSeq, a predicted model, not a curated record
GUCCUGUAACUUUCCCUGGAUAGUCAGCACAAUUACAAUCACUGGGGGAAAGGAGCAAAGGGGCCUCUCUCUAAAGAUGUCCUUCCUCUUUAAAGUGCAUCCCUGCUGCUGUGGUUAUUUAAAGGAAGAACAUCCACUACAUACUCUGUAUGAGGACUGGAAGGGAGGUGUCAGGUCUACACUGUGGAUGCACUGGACAUGAGCUUGCUACUUCAGCCUUGGCACAAAACAAUUCCAGGUCAGAGUCCAGGCAGGGACCUGACUACAAAAGCUGACUCAAGGACCCUGAAACCAGGUGACCCAGAUAAGGCCCAGUCACCAAUGUUAACUUCCUUGCCUUUACCCUGGUAUCAAAAUAUGAUUGGACAAUGCAACAUCUCACCCAACUCCCCCUUGCUUUGUGUUCCCAUCCUACAAAAAUAUUGUGUUAUCUCUGUUUGGGGACAUAGUUCAGAUCCUGAACUGGUCGCCUCUCUGAGAGCUCAGAAAAUAAAGCUUUCAUUUUUUAGCUUCUGUCUGCAAAGUGAGUUUUCUUGGCUUACACCCUGAUCUCAACA